Molecule: ribosomal RNA, 253 nt
Filed under: uncultured bacterium
Lineage: Bacteria
Description: partial 16S ribosomal RNA
Rfam family: Bacterial small subunit ribosomal RNA
Source: RNAcentral
UACGGAGGGGGCCAGCGUUGCUCGGAAUUAUUGGGCGUAAAGGGCGCGUAGGCGGUCUGGUAAGUUUGAUGUGAAAUCCCAUGGCUCAACCAUGGAACUGCAUCUCAUACUGCCGGACUAGAGUCUGGGAGAGGGAAGUGGAAUUCCCGGUGUAGCGGCGAAAUGCGUAGAUAUCGGGAGGAACACCAGUGGCGAAGGCGGCUUCCUGGACCAGUACUGACGCUGAGGCGCGAAAGCUAGGGGAGCAAACAGG